Meriones unguiculatus (Mongolian gerbil) is the source of this 2469-nucleotide long non-coding RNA. RefSeq lists it as uncharacterized. The transcript has 3 exons. The record is from RefSeq and is a predicted model, not a curated record. NCBI's taxonomy places the organism in Eukaryota, Metazoa, Chordata, Mammalia, Rodentia, Muridae.
GGUCAUUCACACCAAAGGCACUGCAGCGCUCCUGUCACAGCUGAGUGUGUGGAGGUGGUUGACCUGCCAUAAACGAGGUAGGAGUGGAGUUGACCUCAGGUGAGACCCAAGGAGAUCGAGAAACUGGGGCCCAGAGAGGUCAGUCGGGAGGUUACAGGACAACGGAACACAGCACCCAAAGGAUUGUGACAAUAGAGCUAUGCUUGUGGCCAUGCUAUGGGUGUUUAGCUGUUCCCUGGCACCAUUGUUCCAGCACCCUUUGAGUGACAGAAGCAUUGGUCCAUCAAGCUCAGCGCACCACAGAACAGACGCAGGAAGAAAGGUGAGAAUGGGAUACAGGGACCAGACACAGGCCCUGUGUCUCACAUUAAACCCAACAGGAUUGAGCAUCACAGUGAGCACUCUUGGAGCAAUUGCCACUCAAGUAAAGCCGACUCGCAGGGGUUCAACAGAUUUAUUGAGAUACUGACAUCCGAGUGUCCUCUUCUUCCCCAGCACUGCCUGCCUCUUACAUAAAGAUCCUGUUUAAACCCGAACUCGAACAUCACUUUCCUUCUCUGUUGCCUCCUCCCAAUGAAAAGGCGUCUCUGGUCUCCCUCCCAGCUUUCUGAGAUAAAGGCGCUCUGGAUGGCUUCCAUACAGCCCAGCUCUGGGCUCACUAGGCUCUCUAGAUGGCUGCUGAAAGCACCAGGGGACCGUUCACAUGGAUUGCUGUGUUGAUGACAACACCCCUCCUCGCUGAACUUUUCUAAUAACCUACCACAGCAGGACGACUUCAGACCCCUCCAGAAGACACAAGGAAUUUUUGCCAUUCAGAGCUCAGAGCCCUCUGUGGCUCCCACCGGGAAGGCAAAAACUGGGGAGCUCUUGACUCUGGGACCUGAAGAAUCAAGGUGGCCGGAGGAAGUGUUCACAGGCAUAAGAAGGCCCGUUCUCAUGAGUUCUGUGUUGUCAUGAUCAAAACACCUGGCGGCAACAGCUUAAGGGGGGAUUAUUGACAGUUUGGGUCUGUGUUGCCCGGUUCUGUGGAGAUGGGCAGAGAUCAGGGGGGCGGGAGGGAGUUGUGGGGAGCUGAUUACAGCAUGGCAGAAACUGCUAGAAAGACACUAGAGACCAGGUGUGACCUUCAAAGGCCUGCUCUGCGGCCUACUUCCUCUAAGUAGGCCCAACUUCCUAAAGUUUACAGAACUUCCCGAAAUAGCACACCAGCUGGGAGCCAGGCAAUCUACUCACGAGCCUGCGGGGGUGUAUGGCGCUGAAGGAGUAGCUCAGGCCGCCUUCCCUAACUCCAUCCCUGGCUGCUCCAAGCCACGACUUCAUCGAGUGAGGAGCGUGCGGUGGCCUCUUCCUGCUCCCUUCCUCGAUCAGCAGAUGGUGAGGGAAGGAAGAAGGCCAAGCUUCCGUGGCUGCCAUCCCACUUUCCACUUUUAGCGCAGCAAUUGGGAGCAUGUGGCCUCCUUCUCCACCCACCCCUGCUGUGAGUCUGAUUCACUGAGUGCCUGCUGUGGCCCGGUUACAGGAGGGCCACCAGAGUCUCAGUGCGAGGAGCACGCGUGAGCCUUCCUCACAGCCAAAGGCCGGAGGGAAAGCCAGGGGGACCUCCUGGAGCAGGUGAAAGGUGCCACUUUCUCCCCCGUCCAGGCCAACAGGAGACAGCCACCGGCUCCGUUUCCGGUCUAGCAUCCACAGUGGUGUGUUGAGGAGGCCAACUGACUAUUCCAAAGCUGCAGUGGCUGUUAAGCUUGACAGUGCACCCUGCAACCUCAGCGCUGCCUGCGGUGUGAGCACCUUCAGACCAGAGCUGGAGAGUCCAGGCCCCCAGCGUGGGGUUCUCCGUGGGCCCUGGAGAAGCUGGUUACCGAGAGGAGGCUCUUCUCUGCUGCUGGGCUCCCAGGAGCCGGUUCCGCCCAUGGGGACCCUGGCUCCCCCAGCUCUUUGCCCGCUUGCCCCUGCCCAGUGGCAGCAGCUGCUUUCUUCUCACCCUCUCUCCCCACGUGCAGCCAGUCUGCCACAUCUCUGCAAUGUCGUCGGGAAAGCCAGCGCAUCCAAGGAGCACAUCCCUGCGCAGAGGAGCCAAAGCUGCCCAGAGCUCGCAUCUGGUUUAGGUCGUCUGGCUUCCUCUAUUUUUUUUUUUCACUCAGAAUUCUGUCCCUAGCACAGAAAACUCAUUCUUGCCCCCUGGCUUAGACAUGAAAGGCUGUGUAUUCAGACACAAAAACAGUUGUCUGCUUGCUAACAUUUGAGAAGGGAACAUGUCAUCCUCAAGGAGCGCAGGGGCAGGCCAGUGCGGAGCCAACAAUGGAAAAUGGUUGCCUCUAAACAGCAAACUAGAUCGCUCAUGGAGCCUUCUGCUGAACACAGACGUCUGUGAUGCUGAACACACACCUCUCCACCAACCAUAUAUGACCCUUCUCUGAACACAGAACCCUCCACUCAUGUAUGCUCCCUCUGUAAACACAGACCCCCCCA